GACGAACGCUGGCGGCGUGCUUAACACAUGCAAGUCGAACGGAAAGGCCCUGCUUUUGUGGGGUGCUCGAGUGGCGAACGGGUGAGUAACACGUGAGUAACCUGCCCUUGACUUUGGGAUAACUUCAGGAAACUGGGGCUAAUACCGGAUAGGAGCUCCUGCUGCAUGGUGGGGGUUGGAAAGUUUCGGCGGUUGGGGAUGGACUCGCGGCUUAUCAGCUUGUUGGUGGGGUAGUGGCUUACCAAGGCUUUGACGGGUAGCCGGCCUGAGAGGGUGACCGGGCAGAGGGGGAGAGAGCGACGGGGGAGGCGACCAGGAGAGGCAGGGGGGGGGAAGGGUGGACCAGGGGGGGGUGGCUGACGGAGGCCGCGGGUGGGGGGGGUGGAGGUAUGGGGGGGGAACAGGGUGCGCCGGCGAAGAAGAGGGAGUGACGGUAAGGGGUAAAGAAGCACCGGCUAACUACGCG
Molecule: ribosomal RNA, 466 nt
Filed under: uncultured bacterium
Lineage: Bacteria
Description: partial 16S ribosomal RNA
Rfam family: Bacterial small subunit ribosomal RNA (bases 20-329)
Source: RNAcentral